Molecule: RNA transcript, 3066 nt
Organism: Zea mays
Lineage: Eukaryota; Viridiplantae; Streptophyta; Magnoliopsida; Poales; Poaceae
Gene name: protein UPSTREAM OF FLC
Exons: 7
Source: RefSeq, a predicted model, not a curated record
GAGCCGUCUCCGGCCUCCGCGCUCCGCGGCUAGGCAGGCAUUGGCGCGACGGGCGCAAGCGCAAUCAAUGCCACCGGCUCCCCUCCUGUUCUCUUCCCGUCGCCCGCAUCCGCAGUCCCAGUCCCAGUACCCGCUGCUUUAUUCCCCUGCGCCAUACAUACUGCCGUUUGACCUCGAGCUCCUGGCUGCGCCCCUGCUGGCCCGUGCUCUCUACCCCUUUUCCCUUCCCCGCCAUUAACCUGACGCGCACCAGGCGCAGGCCGCCGCAGACUCGCCGUCGAGAGGACGAGGGAAAAAGUCAUUCCCUUGCCUGCUUCUGCUCGCCCGAAAAGGCUCCCGUUCUGCAGGCCCGCCCCGCCCCGAUUCAAUGCAGCCAUUGCCUUGUUGAGCUCGUCUCGUCCCGCUGCUUUCCCUCUCGUCGUGCUCCUCCCCACGCGGCCACGCCACGCCUCGCUGUAAACCGACCCUGUUGAGGCUUGGACGCACCCGCGUGUCCGCGCCUGCCUCCCAUCCCACGCCCCCUCCCCUCCACUCCACUCCACUCCCGCGCCGUCACCGGCCGGGGGGAAAGCUCCAACCGAGGGGUUUUUGUUUGUACGCGCCCGUUUGGCCCUUGCUGUGGUCACAUCGCCCGCUCCCCCGCUGCAGCAGCGCCAAAGAUAUGAGAGGAAAGUUUGGGAUCAGUUCCCCGGUGCCCCGCCCCCUCAUGUGCCCGCGCCAGUGACCUCGAAAAGGACCGCGCGCCGCGCCUUGCCCCGUGCCCAGCCGACUCUCUCUCUCUCUUCUCGUCCCGAUUCUGAUCUGGUUGCCGGCACCAGCGAGGUCCAGUCUCGGCGCCGCCGGCGAAUGCAGGGUCUGGAGGCGCCCGCCCGCUAAUCUCGACUUGGAGCUCGAGUUGCCAGGCUUGCAUUUUGUGCCGCCGUCGUCUGAUGUGAUGUAACUGAAGGGCAGCAGGGGCAGCCACAAGCCAGCCAGCCAGCCGCGGGUUUUCCGGAUUCUCUCCUGCUGCUGACGCGACUUCAGUUUCUUCCUAGGAGGGGGAGGAGCGUGUGAAACUCAGGUUGGGCGAGGAUGGAGAGCCGGGGGCGGCGGCCGCGGAGCCCCGAGCGCCGGAGGCCGGCGGCGCGGAAGGUGCCGGUGGUGUACUACCUCACCCGGAGCCGCCACCUCGAGCACCCGCACUUCGUCGAGGUGCCGCUGGCCUCGCCGGAGGGGCUCUAUCUCAGAGAUGUGAUUAAUCACCUGAACAUGGUGCGCGGCAAGGGCAUGGCCGCGAUGUACUCGUGGUCCUGCAAGAGGAGCUACAAGAACGGGUUCGUGUGGCACGACCUUUCGGAGGACGACCUCGUCCUCCCGGCAACCGACGGCGAGUACGUGCUCAAGGGCUCCGAGCUCGUGGACCAAUCCCCUUCGGGUCCAUUUUACCCUGUCACUGUCAGCAACGGCAACCAGAAGCAACAGAGCAGGCCGAAAGAGGGCGCGCGGCAGCCACUGCCAAGAGACCAAUCCGACCCAUCCUCCCCGCCUAGCGUGACAGUCAGAGAAGCCAAGGCCCGGCGGUCACCGUCCGUGCCUUCGCAAGACGAGGAGGAUGACACCCCGUCUCCGUGCAGGGAUCGCUCCAUGUCACAGCCACAGGAGCUGGAGCCCCAGCGGAACGAGAGGAGGACGCAACCGCCAGCGAGCGGGUCUGCGAGCCCAGUGGAGCUCAGAGCUCACAGGCCCACCACCGGCUGCACGGACGCCGCAACCCAGACCGACGAUCUCGGCAGAAGGCCGGCGGGCCGCAGGGCGCUCGAGCUGCCGCGCAAGAAGAGUCUGAGCACGGACCACGACGCCGUCGUCCGUGAGAUCGCAGAGUACCGGCAGAGCCACCCUCGCCGGUCGGCAGACCUCCACGGGAUCUCCCGGGAGCUCCUGCGCCAGUGCAUCACUACUCCGCUGACCGUACCCUCGACCUGCGCCAAGUCCGAGAGCCUAGAGUCGCUGAUACGCGCGGACAACGUGAUGACGGACAGCUUCAGGAUCCUCGAAGAGGAGGACGUCGUCGCGCGCACCUGCCCCAAGCUGAGGCCGGCGAGCGUGCUGAUGCAGCUCGUCACCUGUGGCUCGCUCUCGGUGAAGGGUCACGGGGACGCUGGGGUCGUUCGGACGUGCAAGCCGAGGUUCCCCAACCUCAGGUUCCUCCCCUCGCCGCUGAUCUCGCGCACCAUGAUGAUGGGCGAGCUCGACUACCUGUCGGAAAACCCCAGGUUGAUGGGGAUGAAGCUGGAGGAGAAGGAGUACUUCAGCGGGAGCCUUGUUGAGACCAAGAAGACGCAAAGAGAUGGUCCGGCUGAGAGGUAUUCGGCGCUUAAACGGUCUUCUUCCUACAAUGCAGAAAGGGCCGGCGAGGCUCUGGACUGCACAAGACGCGAAGAGGAUAAAGCCGACGACGUGUCGUCGCGCACGAGGUGCCUCCCGCGGACGCCGAUCCUGUCAUCCUUCCUGCACCCGAAGGGCGACUCGCUCAGGUCUCCCGUCUCGGACUGCCGGCGGAGCUCCUCGGCCCGGCGGGACUACGACGCGGCCUCCGGGGACGGGAGCAGGAGGUUCGCCGACGCCUCCGUCGCGUCCGCGACCACAGGGGCCGAGUCGUUCAGGAAGGAGGAGAAACUCGUCAAGAUCGAGGAAAGUUAAGUGCCGCCCGUGGCCUUUCUUUACCUGAACCUACUGUGAACUCUUUGUCAGUGCUCGGCUGUCGUCCGGAGCCCGUGUCGUGAUCCACUACACCGUCCCUUGCAACGACAGCGACGAAGGCUCUGAACGCUCGGAGGAGUGACACUGCUGUUCAGCUAGACGACCCAUUUUUUCUUCCCGUUUUUUUUUUCACUUUCUCCCUUAGAAACAUUAGGCCCCCUUAUCAUUGUAUAAGUGCCUGUUAUAAUGUAUCAUUCAUGUGUUUCACUUAAAAAGAUGUCUCAUGAGACUGCAUGGUAGAGUGUGUAAAAUAGAGGACAAGAAACGGUUUGUAGAAACAAGUUUGAAAUAUGGGAUGAAAUAGAAGAUCUGGCCAUAUGUGCAGCC